Molecule: small RNA, 1126 nt
Filed under: Arabidopsis thaliana (thale cress)
Lineage: Eukaryota; Viridiplantae; Streptophyta; Magnoliopsida; Brassicales; Brassicaceae
Description: ATSL202360
Source: RNAcentral
AAGAUCAAUGAAUCCUAAAGCACUAUCAUGUCGUUGUAGUAUUUUAGGUGUAAAUCCAAAUGGGUGUGAUGCAAAUAAAUGAGAUGUGAUCAGAAGUCACGAAGUCAAGUGAAGCAAUAACAGUUUUGGGGUUUCUAACAGUCCUAAGCGAACAUGCAGAAAACAAAAACAAUAACAGAAUUACUAAAUUCACUCGACCACAACAGGCUGAUGCCAGAAGCAGGAUGCUGUCGAGUAACAGGUCGAGUAACAGACAAGAUAUGAAACAGCUUAUUCGACUACACAGUCUAUUGCCAGACACUGGGUGUGGUCGAGUAUGCUGGUCGAGUAACAGACACGAAACGAGACAACUGCACUCGACUGCACAAUCUGUUGCCAGACAUUGGGUGUGGUCGAGUAAGUUGGUCGAGUAAUUGCAAAAACUAUGAAACAGGCAAUGACAACGAUUAAGUGAUAACGAUAAAACAGAGAAAUCAGAUAGACAAGAAAUUCCUAAGGAUGGGGUAAUCGAAUAGAGUGGUAUCCUAGCCUAUUCGAAUGGUUAACAAGCACAAUCAAGCUAUCCCUAGACAACAGGUUCAACAACAGAUCAAUUCACUCCCGUGAUAGAAAUCCUCAAGCAAAGCUAGCCCAGACUAAUUCCCAUCAAUGGAAUCUAACUAUGCAGGAAAUAAGAACAGAUUGAUAAAGUCAAUAAACGCUCUAAACGGCCAAUCCCUUGGGAUAGAGACGAAUAUCUCAGGAACUAGUCCUGAAGGGAUUCAAUCAAUUCUAACACUUAACCAUUCUACAGACUACGGAUUCCACAACUACUCUAUCCCAUCCUUAAGAAUUCUAAGUCACUACUCACACAACAUGCUCAAAGACAUAAACGCAGGUAAAUGAUAAUAUUGCAUAAGUGAAGAGAUAAAGAAUAGAUGACAGGUGAAAUCAAAUGCGGAAUCUGAAUAACUUGGAAAAAUCUCGAAUUACAGGUUGUAGAAGCAAAAGCGGCGCAGCUAGAGUAAAAAAGAAAAUAAAACUGAAGCAAAAACUCAAUGUCGACUGGAUGUUUCAGGACAGAACCCUAAGACGCCCAAUAACCUAAUCGCCCAAUAACCUAAUCGCCCAACCCAUAGAGUGAUAA